UACAGAGGGGGCAAGCGUUAUUCGGAAUUAUUGGGCGUAAAGGGCGCGUAGGCGGCUUUGCAAGUGGCGGGUGAAAUCCCUCGGCUUAACCGAGGAACUGCCUGCCAGACUGUGAGGCUUGAGACCGGGAGAGGUGAGUGGAAUUCCCAGUGUAGCGGUGAAAUGCGUAGAUAUUGGGAGGAACACCAGUGGCGAAGGCGGCUCACUGGACCGGAACUGACGCUGAGGCGCGAAAGCGUGGGGGAGCAAACAGG
Molecule: ribosomal RNA, 254 nt
Filed under: uncultured bacterium
Lineage: Bacteria
Description: partial 16S ribosomal RNA
Rfam family: Bacterial small subunit ribosomal RNA
Source: RNAcentral